CACAAUAAUCCUCUGAGAACCAAUCAGCAAAGGCCUGUCAACUAAACCCCUGAGAGGCCAGUAUAGAAAAUAGAAUCCCUAGAAUGGGGAAGGCCCUCAGACCCAUUAACUUGAAUCGGAAUGUCCGUUCUAGGGAUUAUAUUUCUAUGGUUACACAGGAAACCAGGGGGACCUGCUUCCACAACAGUCCUGGAGGGUUUAAGGUAAAGGUCAGCUUGGUAAUAACUUCAGAUGCUUUUCAGACUUCAUCAACAACCAACAACAUCAACAGGACGUCUGUUUUAAUCAGUCACCCACUGGACUGAACCAUGGGGUGCAACACCAGCAGGGAUGCUGUCGUGGUAGACCCUUCUAAAAAGCCAGAGACCAGACCAGCGUCGGCCAGCUCGACCAGUAAGGCCACCGCUGAGGAGACUAAAGAAACUACAGAGAAAGACAAAGAUGAAACAGAAGGCAUAUCAAGCUGCGACUGACCUCCAUCUUCUUAACCCAAACUCCUCAAAAUUGGCCUGUCUGCAGGUGGAGGACCUGCCUGCAGAGGAAGGCAAUGCUGCACAACUGUCCAUCAACCCCUGUGUCAUCUGGGACCCCAGCCACACAUCCCGCUCCACUCUGUGAUGUAACCAACCAGCCACACCCCGCUCCACUCUGUGAUGUAACCAACCAGCCACACGCCCCGCUCCACUCUGUGAUGUAACCAACCAGCCACACCCCCGCUCCACUCUGUGAUGUAACCAACCAGCCACACCCCCCGCUCCACUCUGUGAUGUAACCAACCAGCCACACGCCCCGCUCCACUCUGUGAUGUAACCAACCAGCCCACACCCCGCUCCACUCUGUGAUGUAACCAACCAGCCACACACCCCGCUCCACUCAGUGAUGUAACCAACCAGCCACACCCCCGCUCCACUCUGUGAUGUAACCAACCAGCCACACACCCCGCUCCACUCUGUGAUGUAACCAACCAGCCACACGUUCCUUACUCUGUCUACUGUUGCUGGUCCAGAACACUCUCUCUCUCUCAAUCUCUCAACUGGACCUUCAGUGUCCACAGUGCCAUGUUUAUAUCCUGUUAAUGUGCCAGUAUGGUCAUUGUAACAACAAUGAGACAUGGUAGUAAAUGUAUAGAUUCAAUCUGACUAAUGUCCUUUAUUGUUUUUAAUGUAAUUUAUUGUUCUUACCUCCAUCUCUAUCUCACUCUCUAUCACACACCUCUGUUCUAAUGUGGCAGUUACAAUCAGUUACUUCAAAAGCUUCCAACCCUGCCACAGGCUAAACCAAACAGCAGCCAAAUCAGUAGGCUUUGAAGGCAGUUUUUGUUGCAGCUGUACAGCAUAUUACUGAUCACUCCAGCAGUCCUAGGCUCCAACACUACAUAACACGGCAUCAGGAAGCUGUUACAGCUCUGUGUUUGGGUAGACAGCAGCCUGCUUGUUAUUACCCAUAAAGGAAAUGGUUCCCAUAGAUACAAAUACCAUAGACUGCAAUGCCUUUUUUGCCACCAGGUGGCAUGUAAACACAGCUGCAGUUCUGUUUGUCACCACCAGAUUGCAGAAGCGAUCCAUCAGUAUUUGGUGGCUAUCCAAGGCCCUGGUCCAUUUACUCAAGACAUUUAAUCUGAAAUAUAUGUUGUAAAUUUAUUACCAGCGAGUGAAUAGAGCUGGAACGGAAUAGCCUUUUCACAAAGCCCAUAUCACAAAUACCCAUCACAGAGGAAGCGGGAAAUUACAUGAAAAUAUUACCAUUAUACAAAUGGAAAUUGUGAUUGAAUAAUGUGUUUGAGAAGAUAAAUGGAAAGCACUUUGUUAGAAAAUGUGGUGCUAAAUAGCUUUUUAAUUUCAGAUGUGGGAUAAAACAAAACACAUUUCUACUCCAUUUUCACUGGCAAUUGAUUAGUGGUUCCACACCUGCAGAGAGAAGGGCUCUUAUCUUCUCAUUAUCAGUUAAUUAAUAUGCAUGCACACAUGUCUAUUAUCUUUCCUCUGCCAUUUAGCAGAAUUGAGACAUUGAUGUUGUAAUGGCCUUGGAUGACUUCUCUCUCUGUUGCUUUAAGGAGAAAUAAGACACAUGACUGACAUUGUCUUUAAUUGUUGUAAAAGAAAAUGAAAUGAAAAUAAAAUAAAAAGGAAAAACAAAUUCUUUACAUCAUAUUCAAUAUGACAUCACCAUUCCCCUCUGGGAGGUGUAUCUAUAAACACAGCAACUCUUAUUUGAUUGGCUGUAUUUAAAUUAGCAGCUAUUCUAUGGUACUGUAGCUUUACGAAACAAGCCAUAUGGUGCACUGUGUAUACCUAAGAAAGAGAUGUAUUGAAGAGUGAUAGGGAAAUGUUUUACUUGAAAGACAUACAGAAGGGAAUAAGAUAUUAAAUUCCUCACUCUGCCAGGGUUUGGCUAUUACAGAAUCCAAGGCCUCACCCGUUGAAGCAAAACCUGGGUGAAAGUCAAAUUAAUUUAUGUCCUGAUCUUCAAUGUUCCACUGCCAUAAGUGCAUAUUGUAUUACCAGUGAAAUAUGA
This is a long non-coding RNA of Oncorhynchus tshawytscha (Chinook salmon), 2514 nucleotides long. The record is from Ensembl. NCBI's taxonomy places the organism in Eukaryota, Metazoa, Chordata, Actinopteri, Salmoniformes, Salmonidae.